GUGCCNGCAGCCGCGGUAAUACGGAGGAUCCAAGCGUUAUCCGGAAUCAUUGGGUUUAAAGGGUCCGUAGGCGGUCAGGUAAGUCAGUGGUGAAAGCCCAUCGCUCAACGGUGGAACGGCCAUUGAUACUGUCUGACUUGAAUUAUUAGGAAGUAACUAGAAUAUGUAGUGUAGCGGUGAAAUGCUUAGAGAUUACAUGGAAUACCAAUUGCNAAGGCAGGUUACUACUAAUGGAUUGACNCUNAUGGACGAAAGCGUGGGUAGCGAACANGAUUAGAUACCCUGGUAGUCCACNNCNUAAAC
RNAcentral lists this ribosomal RNA (303 nucleotides) under uncultured Flavobacterium sp. RNAcentral describes it as "partial 16S ribosomal RNA". It matches the Rfam family "Bacterial small subunit ribosomal RNA", at positions 505 to 807 of the family's 1533-position model. Lineage: Bacteria; Pseudomonadati; Bacteroidota; Flavobacteriia; Flavobacteriales; Flavobacteriaceae. The record is from RNAcentral.